CCCUCACCUGCAAACCAAAAUAAAAUACAUAAAUAUUGAGUCAGCCUCCUCACAGUUGGUAACAAAACAUACAUGUGGAAUCAGUCUCGUAGUAACUGGUGAUAAAAUUUACACAUUCUAAGUCGACCUAUAAAUAUACUAUUCACUCUUUGCUAAGGAUCAAAUCAUGGAUUCAAUAGAAAACUGAUGUGGGGACAAAUUUGGUUUAAAUAUGCAAGCUUAUUGUAAGCAUGGAUCCCAUACAUGCUAUUGACAGGUGUCGUUUAUUUGUCAAUGACUCGUUCCGUGACUUGCAAAAUGGUUGAUUGGUGCCAUGAAAACCAUUCUUAUGGUUACUGAUGUAUCAAGUGCAUAAGGUUACAAUAAAGUGGCUGUGUGCCUAAA
Molecule: long non-coding RNA, 384 nt
Organism: Haliotis rubra (blacklip abalone)
Lineage: Eukaryota; Metazoa; Mollusca; Gastropoda; Lepetellida; Haliotidae
Exons: 2
Source: RefSeq, a predicted model, not a curated record